Solanum lycopersicum (tomato) is the source of this 270-nucleotide non-coding RNA. The record is from RefSeq and is a predicted model, not a curated record. NCBI's taxonomy places the organism in Eukaryota, Viridiplantae, Streptophyta, Magnoliopsida, Solanales, Solanaceae.
UCACUUAAAAAAUAUUCAUCAAUGGAAAACUUUGGUGUCUAUUCUAUUUUUCUCAUUACUUUCACUUAUGCUACAUUGAUAAUGACACAAAUACCCUCAACAAAUGGAGUUGUAUGUGAAGAAGAACUUCAAGUUCCUUGUAAGGAUGGCAAUGUAUUAUAUUGUGGCUCUAUAUGUUAUGAAAAAUAUAGAGAAAAUUAUAUGUCAACAGAGUGUGUGGAGAAAUUUGCUGGUAACCCUAUUUGUGUGUGUAUUUACAAGAGUGAGUAU